Molecule: long non-coding RNA, 407 nt
Organism: Mytilus californianus (California mussel)
Lineage: Eukaryota; Metazoa; Mollusca; Bivalvia; Mytilida; Mytilidae
Exons: 2
Source: RefSeq, a predicted model, not a curated record
CUGACAGUAACUCGGGUGUUAAAACGUUUUUCACAGUCAUUACUUCCCCCAUUUGGGUACCAGUAGCAGCAGCUGCAGGUGUCGUAGCUGCCCCUUUUACUGCUGUCUCAGAUUCUGCUGACGAAAAGAAUGCAGCGAAAGCAGUAGGGAGUUAUCCAGGAAAUUUAGUUGGAAAUGUUGUAACUAAUCCAUUUAAAGCAAUUGGCGAAGUUGGAAAAAUGUUGUCAGGAAAUGAUAAGAAAUAGAGGUGUCAAGUAAGAAGAAUAUAAAAGUCGUGAAGAAAUACAGGAGAAUUAAACAACAAUUGAACAAUUUAUGAUUCAAUAUCUAUUGAUGAACAUGGCCUUAUUACGUACACAAAUAUACUGUAAUUUACUUUUGGAAUUCAAUACAAUGAUAGCAUUUAA